Molecule: ribosomal RNA, 484 nt
Filed under: uncultured bacterium
Lineage: Bacteria
Description: partial 16S ribosomal RNA
Rfam family: Bacterial small subunit ribosomal RNA
Source: RNAcentral
AUUGAACGCUGGCGGCAGGCCUAACACAUGCAAGUCGAGCGGAUGAAGGGAGCUUGCUCCUGGAUUCAGCGGCGGACGGGUGAGUAAUGCCUAGGAAUCUGCCUGGUAGUGGGGGAUAACGUCCUGAAACGGGCGCUAAUACCGCAUACGUCCUGAGGCAGAAAGUUGGGGAUCUUCGGACCUCACGCUCUCUGAUGAGCCUAGGUCGGAUUAGCUAGUUGGUGGGGUAAAGGCCUACCUAGGCGACGAUCCGUAACUGGUCUGAGAGGAUGAUCAGUCACACUGGAACGGAGACACGGUCCAGAGUCCUACGGGAGGCAGCAGUGGGGAAUAUUGGACAAUGGGCGAAAGCCUGAUCCAGUCGUGCCGCGUGUGUGAAGAAGGUCUUCGGAUUGUAAGGCACUUUAAGUUGGGAGGAAGGGCAGUAAGUUAAUACCUUGCUGUUUUGACGGUACCAACAGAAGAAGCACCGGCUAACUUCGUG